RNAcentral lists this ribosomal RNA (277 nucleotides) under Thalassiosira punctigera. RNAcentral's name for it is "partial Bacterial large subunit ribosomal RNA". It matches the Rfam family "Bacterial large subunit ribosomal RNA", at positions 410 to 695 of the family's 2925-position model. Lineage: Eukaryota; Bacillariophyta; Thalassiosirophyceae; Thalassiosirales; Thalassiosiraceae. The record is from RNAcentral.
AAGUAAAAUGAUACAUGUCGUGUAUUAUUCUAAAAUUGGGGUACCACCCUCAAAAUCUAAAAAGUAUUAAUGAUUGAUAGUGAACAAGUACCGUAAGGGAAUGGUGAAAAAGAAUUUUCGAAGCUGAAAAGAACUUGAAAUUUAAUGUUUUUAAUCAGUUGUAGCUUAUUGUAAAGCGACAGCGUUCCUUUUGCAUAAUGAAUCAAUGAGUUUAUAUUAAUGGCAAGCUUAAACAAUAAUAAGUGUAGGCUAAAAGAAAUUAAGUUUUAAAUUGCGU